UGGGGAAUUUUGGACAAUGGGCGCAAGCCUGAUCCAGCCAUUCCGCGUGAGUGAAGAAGGCAUUCGGGUUGUAAAGCUCUUUCGCAAGGGAAGAAAACUUAGGCUCUAACAUAGCCUGAGGUUGACGGUACCUUGAUAAGAAGCACCGGCUAACUACGUGCCAGCAGCCGCGGUAAUACGAAGGGCGCGAGCGUUAAUCGGAAUUACUGGGCGUAAAGCGUGCGCAGGCGGUUUUGUAAGUCAGAUGUGAAAUCCCCGAGCUCAACUUGGGAACUGCAUUUGAAACUACAAGACUAGAAUAAGUCAGAGGGGAGUAGAAUUCCACGUGUAGCAGUGAAAUGCGUAGAGAUGUGGAGGAAUACCAAUAGCGAAGGCAGCCCCCUGGGAUAAUAUCGACGCUCAUGCACGAAAGCGUGGGGAGCAAACA
Molecule: ribosomal RNA, 427 nt
Filed under: uncultured bacterium
Lineage: Bacteria
Description: bacterial SSU rRNA
Rfam family: Bacterial small subunit ribosomal RNA
Source: RNAcentral